Molecule: non-coding RNA, 5014 nt
Organism: Oryctolagus cuniculus (rabbit)
Lineage: Eukaryota; Metazoa; Chordata; Mammalia; Lagomorpha; Leporidae
Source: RefSeq, a predicted model, not a curated record
UUUGUUUAUUUCUUCUCUAAUUAUUUCUUUCUUCUACUCAUUUUGGGUUUGGUUUGUUGUUGUUUUUCUAAGUUCUUGAGAUUCAUUGAUAGCUCAUUUAUUUUCUACCUUUCCCAUUUAUUCAUGUAGGCACUGAUUGCUAUAAGCUUCCCUCUUAACACAGCUUUUGCUGUAUCCCGUAAGUUUAGAUAUGAUUAAUUGUCAUCUCCACUUGUUUUCAGAAAUUUUUUUUAUUUUGGACAUAUGUUUUCAUCUCUUAGGUGUAUCCAGCAAUGGAAUUAUUGACUCACACAAUAAUUCUAUAUUUAACUUUUCGUGAAACUUCCAAACUCUUUCUAGUUUUUGUACCAUUUUACAUUCCUACCAGUAACCUAACAAGGCUCUUAUUGACCGAUGCCAAGGCUCACUAGGCUCCUAUUGCUCCACUGUGCCUAUAGUUGUAUUUCGUGUGUGUGUGUGCGUGUGUGUGUUUAAAGCCUUCCUAUUGUGUCAUAGUGGUACCUCACUAUGGUUUUGACUUUGUAAUUCUCUAAUAAUAUAAUAUUAAACAUCUUUUCAUAUGCUUAUUGGCCACUUGUAUAUCUUCUUUGGAAAAGUGUUCAUCCAAUUCCUUCUUUCCAUUUUUUAAAAUAUUUAUUUCUUUAUCUGUUUAUUUAUUUGAAAGGCAGAGCCAGAGAGAGAGAUCCUCAAUUUCACAAAUGGCUGCCACAGCUAAGGCUGAGCCAGGCUGUAACUAAGGGCCUGAAAUGUUUGGUUUUUUUGUUGUUGUUGUUGAGUUGUAGAACUCCUUUUAUUUAUUCUGGCUAUUAAAUAUGAAGUGUAUGAUACUUUACAUAAUAUAUGUCUUGCAAAUAUUUUCUCCCAUUUUAUGUUACCUUUUUACAUUUUUGGUACUGUUCUUUGAUGCAUGAAAAUUUUUCAUUUUUAUGUAUUCCAGUUGAUCUGCUUUAUCUUUUGUAGUUCAUACAUUUAGUUCCAAAUUUAAGAGUCUCUGGCCAAAUCCAAUAUCAUGUAUUUUAAUACUUUUGUUUUCUUCUAGGAGUUUUGUAGUUGUAGCUCCUAAAUCUAGAUUGUUGGGUCGUUGUGAGGUAGUUUUCAUAUAUGGAGUGAAAUAGGAGUCCAACUUUAUUCUUUUGCAUGUGGAUAGCCAGUUGGCCCAGUACCACUUGUUAAAGAGGCUAUUCUUUCCCCAGUGUCUUCAAACCACUGAAAAUCAUUUGCCCAUACAUGUUGGUGUUUAUUUCUGUGCUUUCAAUUCUGUUCCAUUGGUCUAUAGAUCUCUUAUGCUAGUACUACACUCUUUUUUUUUUUUUUAAGAUUUAUUUUAUUUAUUUGAAAGAGAGAGUUACAGAGAGAGGUAGAGACAGAGAGAGGCCUUCCAUCUGCUGGAUCACUCCUUAGAUGGCCAGCAGAGCUGUGCCGAUCUGAAGCCAGGAGCCAGGAACUUCCCCUGGGUCCUUCUAUGUCUUUCUGUGUCAGCAUUAAAACAAAUAGUUUUGGCUAUUUAGGGCUCCUUGAAGACCCAUGUAAAUUUGAGAGAUUGAUUUUUCUGUCUUUGCACAAAAGGCCACUAGAAUUUUCUUGGGGUUGUGUUGAAACUGUAGAUUUCUUUAAGAUCACCAUUUUUACAAUAUUAAGAGUUCUGAUCUAUAGAUAUUGAACAUCUUUCUUUAUUUAGUUCUUUCUUAACUUCUUCCUAUAACAUUUUGCAAUUUCCAGUAUACAAAUCUUUCAACUCUUUGGUUAAAUUUAUUCUUACAUAUUUUAUUCUCUUGAUGUUAUUAUAAAUAUAAUUGUUUUCUUAAUUUCUUUUCUGGAUUGUUCAUUAGUGGUAGAUAGAAAGUUAUUUUGUGGGGGCUGGUAUUGUGACAUAGCAGGUAAAGCCACUGCCUGUGUUACUGGUUGUGUUCUGGUUGCUCCACUUCUGAUCCAGCUUCCUGCUGAUGGCCUGGGAAAAGCAGCAGAUGGUGUUCCAAAUGUUUGGGCCCAUUCUACCCAUGUGGGAGACCCAGAUGAAGCUCCUGUACCUGGCUUCUACUUGAAUCAACUCUGAUCAUUGAAACCAUCUGGGGAAUGAACCAGCAGAUGGAAGAUAUCUCUGUGUCUCUCCCUCCCUCUCUGUAACUCUGACUUUCAAAUAAAUAAAUACACCCUUUAAAAAAAAAAGUGACUUUGUGUGUUAACCCUGCAACUGUGCUGAAUUUGUUAGGUCUAGUAGUGUGUGUAUGUGUGUGUGUGUAAUUCCAUGGUAUUUUCUAUAUAGAAAAUCAUAUUGUUUAUAAAUAAAGAUAGUGUUACUUCUGACUUCCAAUUUGAAUGACCUAUUUCUUUUUCUUGCCAAAUAUAUCUGGCUAGGUCUUCCAGUGCAAUGUUAAAUAGCUGGAGUGAAAGCAGGUAUCUUUAUCUUGUUCCUUCUUUUGCAAAAAUGAUUUAUUAUAAAAAGAAUUCAUGUGUAUAUAUUGGCAAUUAUAAAGAAAUUAAAGUUGCAAAAUGAUCCACAAAUGUUCCUACCUGUUCUUCCCUUUUUUCCAUAGUUGUUUCUCAUUGUUUUUGAACUUGAUACUGCUUUCAAUUUUCUAAUAAUCCUUUAGGACUAGUAACUAAUCCCAGGGAACAACAAUGUUCAAGGAGUACCUAUUGAUUAUGAUGAGGAAAGGAGGAAUUUUAUCAAGAAGAAAUGAGCUAUUAAAAUCUAUGGCUUGUCUUCCAAGAAACUCAGUUUAUCCAUGAUUCUUCCAGCAGUGAAACAAAACAAAACAAAAUGAGAUGAGUGAGAGCACUAGCCACAAGAAGAAUGAAGUCUAAGAAGAUGGAUAGACCAAUGGAACAGAAUUGAAAUACCAGAAAUCAACCCAAACAUCUACAGCCAACUUAUAUUCGAUCAAGGAUCUAAAACUAAUUCCUGGAGCAAGGACAGUCUAUUCAAUAAAUGGUGCUGGGAAAAUUGGAUUUCCACGUGCAGAAUCAUGAAGCAAGACCCCUACCUUACACCUUACACAAAAAUCCACUCAACAUGGAUUAAAGACCUAAAUCUACGACCUGACACCAUCAAGUUACUAGAGAACAUUGGAGAAACCCUUCAAGAUAUUGGCACAGGCAAAGAGUUUCUGGAAAAGACCCGGGAGGCACAGGCAGUCAAAGCCAAAAUUAACUAUUGGGAUUGCAUCAAAUUGAGAAGUUUCUGUACUGCAAAAGAAACAGUCAGGAGAGUGAAGAGACAACCGACAGAAUGGGAAAAAAUAUUUGCAAACUAUGCAACAGAUAAAGGGUUAAUAACCAGAAUCUACAAGGAGAUCAAGAAACUCCACAAAAACAAAACCAACAACCCAAUUAGGAGAUGGGCCAAGGACCUCAAUAGACAUUUUUCAAAAGAGGAAAUCCAAAUGGCCAACAGGCACAUGAAAAAAUGUUCAAGGUCAUUAGCAAUCAGGGAAAUGCAAAUCAAAACCACAAUGAGGUUUCACCUCACCCCGGUUAGAAUGGCUCACAUACAGAAAUCCACCAACAACAGAUGCUGGCGAGGAUGUGGGGAAAAAGGGACACUAACCCACUGUUGGUGGGAAUGCAAGCUGGUCAAGCCACUAUGGAAGUCAGUCUGGAGAUCCCUCAGGAACCUGAAGAUAACCCUACCGUUCGACCCAGCCAUCCCACUCCUUGGAAUUUACCCAAAGGAAUUUAAAUUGGCAAACAAAAAAGCAGUCUGCAGCCUAAUGUUUAUUGCAGCUCAAUUCACAAUAGCUAAGACCUGGAACCAACCUAAAUGCCCAUCGACGGUAGACUGGAUAAAGAAAUUAUGGGAUAUGUACUCUUUAGAAUACUAUACCGCAGUAAGAAACAACGAAAUCCAGUCAUUUGCAACAAAAUGGAGGAAUCUGGAACACAUCAUGCUGAGUGAAAUAAGCCAGUCCCAAAGGGACAAAUACCAUAUGUUCUCCCUGAUUGGUGACAACUGACUGAACACCAAAAAGGAAACCUGUUGAAGUGGAAUGGACACUAUGGGAAACGGUGACUUGUUCAGCAUAGCCCUGACUGUUAAUGAACAACUUAAUACAUUAUCCCUCUUAGUAGUUUUUUUGUCUGUUCUACUUAAUAUGACUGGUUUAAUUCUGUAAUUAAUACACAGUUAUUCUUAAGUGUUGAAAUUUAACUGAAAUGUGAUCCCUGUUAAACACAAGAGUAGGAAUAAGAGAGGGAAGAGAUGUAUAAUUUGGGACAUGCUCAAGCUGACUUGCCCCAAAUGGUAGAGUUAGAAACAUACCAGGGUACUCCAAUUUAAUCCCAUCAAGGUGGCAUGUACCAAUGCCAUCUCACUAGUCCAAGUGAUCAAUUUCAGUUCACUAUUGAUCAUAAUGAAAGGACUAAGAGUCAAAGGGAGCACAUAAGCAAGUCUAGUACCUGCUAACACUAACCGAUAGAAUAAAUAAAGGGGAGAGUGAUCCAACAUGGGAAGUGAGAUACUCAGCAGACUCAUAGAAUGGCAGAUGUCCUAAACAGCACUCUGGCCUCAGAAUAAGCCCUAAAGGCAUUCGGAUCUGGCUGAAAAGCCCAUGAGAGUAUUUCAGGCAUGGAAAGCCAAGACACUCUGGCAAAAGAUCUCUAUGAGUGAGAUCUCAGUGGAAAGAACAGGUCUUCAAAGAAGGAGGUACCUUUCUCUGAAGGGAGGAGAGAACCUCCACUUUGACUAUGACCUUGUCUAAACAAGAUAAGAAUCGGAGAACUCAGAGGGCUUCCAUAGCCUUGGAAACUCAUGACUGGAGCAUAGGGAGAUUACUGAUGCCAUAGACAGGAGUGUCAAUUGGUAAAGUCAACAACAGGAGUCACUGUGCACUUACUCCUCAUGUAGGAUCUCUGUCCUUAAUGUGCUGUGCAUUGAAAUUUAAUGCUAUAACGAGUACUCAAACAGUAUAUUUCACUUUGUGUUUCUAUGGGGGUGCAAACUGUUGAAAUCUUUACUUAAUGCAUACUAAACUGAUCCUCUGUAAAAAAAAAAAAAAAAAAAAAAAAAGAAAAGAAA